RNAcentral lists this ribosomal RNA (515 nucleotides) under uncultured bacterium. Its description in RNAcentral is "partial 16S ribosomal RNA". It matches the Rfam family "Bacterial small subunit ribosomal RNA", at positions 28 to 523 of the family's 1533-position model. The record is from RNAcentral.
GAUGAACGCUGGCGGCGUGCCUAAUACAUGCAAGUCGAGCGAAUGGAUUAAGAGCUUGCUCUUAUGAAGUUAGCGGCGGACGGGUGAGUAACACGUGGGUAACCUGCCCAUAAGACUGGGAUAACUCCGGGAAACCGGGGCUAAUACCGGAUAACAUUUUGAACCGCAUGGUUCGAAAUUGAAAGGCGGCUUCGGCUGUCACUUAGUGAUGGACCCGCGUCGCAUUAGCUAGUUGGUGAGGUAACGGCUCACAAAGGCAACGAUGCGUAGCCGACCUGAGAGGGUGAUCGGCCACACUGGGACUGAGACACGGCCCAGACUCCUACGGGAGGCAGCAGUAGGGAAUCUUCCGCAAUGGACGAAAGUCUGACGGAGCAACGCCGCGUGAGUGAUGAAGGCUUUCGGGUCGUAAAACUCUGUUGUUAGGGAAGAACAAGUGCUAGUUGAAUAAGCUGGCACCUUGACGGUACCUAACCAGAAAGCCACGGCUAACUACGUGCCAGCAGCCGCGGUAA